RNAcentral lists this ribosomal RNA (223 nucleotides) under uncultured bacterium. RNAcentral's name for it is "partial 16S ribosomal RNA". It matches the Rfam family "Bacterial small subunit ribosomal RNA", at positions 94 to 334 of the family's 1533-position model. The record is from RNAcentral.
AGUGGCGCACGGGUGAGUAACGCGUGGGAAUAUGCCCUUCACUACGGGACAACGUCGGGAAACUGACGCUAAUACCGUAUAAUGACUCCGGUCCAAAGAUUUAUCGGUGAAGGAUUAGCCCGCGUCUGAUUAGCUAGUUGGUGAGGUAAUGGCUCACCAAGGCUACGAUCAGUAGCUGGUCUGAGAGGAUGAUCAGCCACACUGGGACUGAGACACGGCCCAG